Molecule: long non-coding RNA, 1078 nt
Organism: Mauremys mutica (yellowpond turtle)
Lineage: Eukaryota; Metazoa; Chordata; Testudines; Geoemydidae
Exons: 4
Source: RefSeq, a predicted model, not a curated record
CCGGCCAUCAGAGCUCAGUGGGAGCCCAGCCACCGUCGGGAGCAGACCUGCCAGAGAGGGCUCGGGACUGGGAAGCCGCUGGAGCCCAGGGCAGUUGCCCUGACUGGCCGGAGCUUCCCCACACCCGCUACUGGGAGGAGCCACUGAAGCUUCCCCGCGCCAGCUACGAGGAGGAGCCGUCGGAGACUCCCCCUCUCCCUUGCUGUUACCCCGAGGAACCCCCGGAGCAGACCUGGCCGGACUUCCCGGAGGAGCUGCCGGAUCUACCCCCCAGCCCGGGCCGCGAGGAGCCCAUGCUGUUGGACUUCCCGGGACCUGACGCCACAGACCAGGUCGAGAAGGGGUCAACUUCAUCUCAGCUACCCCCUUCACUAUGCAAAGAUGCUCAGAGGAACGGCCCUGAGAACUGCUGAAUGGGAGGCAGCCAGCCUUUGGGAAGGUCAGAUUCUACACCAGCAUCACAGCAAUCAAAGGUCUGAAGCAGAAUACAUGGACAGUUUCUACCGUGGAGUCAAGGACUUAGGAAAAUUCCAGAGACAGACAUUGUUGCAAGUCAAGAGAGAACCCUGAACAAAGAUAAAAAUAAGAACAGUACGUACAUACAGAGGUCAUCCUAAUUGCAUCAAACGUCUAUGACUACCUUGCAGGGGAAGGAGGCGGGGUGCGGGGGUAGGGAUGAGUGCUUACAGACAUCCGGUGGGUUGUGAAGGGAGCAUUGGUUUUUUAUAUCAAUAAGCUGAGCUAAGUUAUUAUGUAUUAACAGAAACUAUGUCAUUGGUUUUCAUCAGUUUCUGUCUUUUCUGCUGGCUAAAUUUUAACUUCUUCCUGACAUACCCAAGAAAAAUUCUCAGAGAUAUGGCAUACUUUCCUGGAAAUAUCUGAAUGAUCCUAUUUAAUGAAUGCCCACACGCCUGCCCUUCUCUCUACCCUCUUCCUUCCCUCCCCAUCUCUAUUCCCCUCCUCUGAACUUUGCUUCUAUUCUUUUGGAUAACUUAAUACUUUUGCUGUAGCUAGUUAGAUUUUUACAAACAAAUUUUGUCUGUAAAUUGUGUAAUAGAAAUAAUUGACCCAUAUUUUA